AAAUAUAUAUACAGAUAGAAACAGAGGCUCGAAGAGAUUUUAGCUAUUGGUGAAGCGGUGAUCUUUGAGAUUGAUCUAGAAUCGACAGAUUAGCUCCUACUGAACAGGACACGGAAUAAGAACAUGACUUGUAUCCAACUAGUCUUUCGCGUACGUACAAUACAGUUCAGGUCGUCAUACACUCACACAGAUCGAGUGUGCUCGAUUCUUCUCCGAUCCACCGACGGCUGGUGCCUCCAAUGGAUUCAUCGAGCUGUGGAAACCAACUUCCCCGGGCAUGCAACUCAACACAUAUUACGUUUGCUGAUGCUCUUGUUAUAAUAUGCUGCACGAUGUGGCAUCCUAUGCUUGGUUACACAUUAUUUUUCACCACUGCUGAAAACCGACGCAUAUAUAGGAUUCUGCAUGAUAAAGAUCAAAAAGUGGCGAGUCAAUGCCGUCGCCGUCUUGAUCGGGUUUGCAGCCGGCCGGAGAGGGCAUCACCAUGCAGUGUUUCCUUCUCCGAAUGUAACCCAUGCCAGUAGAAUUGUGCCGUGUCACCUACAGAAACGAUUUGUUGCUGUAGUAGUUCGCUUGAUUUUUCGAAAUUUUACCAGGAAAUGAACAAUACGAAUUAAGAAGAAAAAGAAGAAGAAGAAGAAGAAGAAGAAGAAGAAGAGAAAAGUUGUUGAUUCUCAGCGCCAUCGAUCCGGUGAUUGUUAAAGAGAAAUCUGCAAAAUAAGAGUCGCUACAUAUAUAUAACUGUUCGUAUUGCAGAUAUCAAUAGAUUCUAAUUGCAACCUAGUGACAAGUAGCUUCAGCUCGAAAGAGUACCAUGGAGAGGCCCCAACUAAAAGCUGGUCUCCCAAUCUCCCAUCAUACAAAAUGUCAUGAUUCAUGAAGAAGUUUUCUUGUUUCUUUUCUGAGAUGGAAAUGGAGAAUGAAGGUGGCGUUUAGAGGAAUCAGACGAAUAGGUAAUAUACGUACGUACGUAGUACUUAGGGGAAUCAAAUCGUCCACUAAUAGAUGUUGACAGAGGUGAGAUAGAAUGUCGAUUAGGACACAAGUAAGUAAAACGUCAAAAGCAAAUUAUAUAGCAGAAAGAUUCUUAGGUAGGCUUUCCCUAUCACGCCGCGGCGGUGCCGAAACCCUGUUUGCACCGAUUUACUAAUGCUAUGUGUAAAUCUCCUUGCUUAAUCAAGGUAAGCAAUUUUAGAUUCCAUGAAGAUGAAGUAAAGCUUAAAAGAACAAAAAGAAAAGAAGAGGAAUAUAUAGAAAAAGGUCGAGUCUUUU
RNA transcript from Fragaria vesca subsp. vesca, 1272 nucleotides. RefSeq lists it as uncharacterized. The transcript has 2 exons. The record is from RefSeq and is a predicted model, not a curated record. NCBI's taxonomy places the organism in Eukaryota, Viridiplantae, Streptophyta, Magnoliopsida, Rosales, Rosaceae.